Molecule: long non-coding RNA, 250 nt
Filed under: Pan troglodytes (chimpanzee)
Lineage: Eukaryota; Metazoa; Chordata; Mammalia; Primates; Hominidae
Description: long non-coding RNA NONPTRT017409
Source: RNAcentral
CGGCACCCACCGGCCCAGAGCUGCCCGACGCGGCUUGGGCGGACCCCGCCGCCCGGGUGCCUGGGCACGAUUCCAGGGAUCCAGGGUAAAGCGGUUCGCGCGGGAACAGGAGGAUAUGUCAGGCACAGGCUAUUCCCCAUCACUAUAGCCACAGAGGACUGGUCCAGAUGCGGAUCCCGAUCUGUGCUUCUUCAGGUGUUCGCGUGCUUUCGAUGGUUGGAUACCAAGAAAGCUGCUCAGGAAACCUUAC